AGUGAACGCUGGCGGUAGGCCUAACACAUGCAAGUCGAACGGCAGCACAGUAAGAGCUUGCUCUUACGGGUGGCGAGUGGCGGACGGGUGAGGAAUACAUCGGAAUCUACUUUUUCGUGGGGGAUAACGUAGGGAAACUUACGCUAAUACCGCAUACGACCUACGGGUGAAAGCAGGGGAUCUUCGGACCUUGCGCGAUUGAAUGAGCCGAUGUCGGAUUAGCUAGUUGGCGGGGUAAAGGCCCACCAAGGCGACGAUCCGUAGCUGGUCUGAGAGGAUGAGCAGACACAGUGGAAAUGAGACAAGGUCGAGAGGACGACGGGAGGCAGAAGUGGGGAAUAGUGGAAAAGGGGCGAAAGUAUGAUCCAGCAAUACCGCGGGGGGGAAGAAGGCAUGUGGGUUGUAAAGUCUGUUGGGGGGGAAAGAAAAGAAGCAGGUGAAUACCCCGGUGUCCGGACGGGAGAAAAAGAAUAAGAAACGGCGAACUUAGGG
RNAcentral lists this ribosomal RNA (492 nucleotides) under uncultured bacterium. RNAcentral's name for it is "partial 16S ribosomal RNA". It matches the Rfam family "Bacterial small subunit ribosomal RNA", at positions 30 to 507 of the family's 1533-position model. The record is from RNAcentral.